GGCAGAUUAUGUCUGUCUUCUUGAUGGUCUUCAGAUGCCCACCACAGGCCCUGCCGAAAAAACCAUUUGGCAAAGCUGAUGCCUGAAG
This is a small nucleolar RNA of Cynocephalus volans (Philippine flying lemur), 88 nucleotides long. RefSeq annotates it as small nucleolar RNA SNORD35. The transcript has a single exon. The record is from RefSeq and is a predicted model, not a curated record. Lineage: Eukaryota; Metazoa; Chordata; Mammalia; Dermoptera; Cynocephalidae.